UCCGACUGUUUAACAAAAACAUAACCUUUAGCCAAACAAGUAUUAAAGGCAACGCCUGCCCAGUGAAUAAUUAAACGGCCGCGGUACCCUAACCGUGCAAAGGUAGCGUAAUCACUUGUCUAUUAAUUGUAGACCCGUAUGAAAGGCAAAAUGAGGGCCUAACUGUCUCUUAUAAUAAAUCAAUUAAACUGAUCUCCCAGUACAAAAGCUGGAAUACCAACAUAAGACCAGAAGACCCUGUGAAGCUUAAACUAAACCAUUAAAACACAUAAUAACUACUUUCGGUUGGGGCGACCUUGGAAAAAAAAAGAACUUCCAAAGGCCAACAAGCCAAACAAUAGACCCAGCAAAGCUGAUAAUUGAACCAAGUUACUCCAGGGAUAACAGCGCUAUCUUCCUCAAGAGCCCAUAUCAAAAGGAAGGUUUACGACCUCGAUGUUGGAUCAGGACAUCCUAAUGGUGCAGCCGCUAUUAAGGGUUCGUUUGUUCAACGAUUAAUAGUCCYACGUGAUCUGAGUUCARACCGGAG
Molecule: ribosomal RNA, 529 nt
Filed under: Amblyodipsas polylepis
Lineage: Eukaryota; Metazoa; Chordata; Lepidosauria; Squamata; Lamprophiidae
Description: partial 16S ribosomal RNA
Rfam family: Bacterial large subunit ribosomal RNA
Source: RNAcentral